CAGGAGGUGGGGUGAAAUUAAUCAAAGCAAAGAAAUGCACAAGUGAAAUCCGUGUUUGUGGCCCAAGUUAGCAGGGCCCUGCCCCACCCCAGUGGACAUCUGCAGGGCCCUCCCUGUCCUCUUCCAGGGCCUGUGCCCUGAGGGAGAUACACCCCAACCCCCAUCCUAGCCAUGCCAACCUCUACUACCCUCUCCCCAGCUCAUCCUGUUUGGGCUCAGUAAUCAGCUGGCUGUGACAUUCCGGGAAGAGAACACCAUCGCCUUCCGACACCUCUUCCUGCUGGGCUACUCGGACGGAGCAGAUGACACCUUCGCAGCCUACACGCGGGAGCAGCUGUACCAGGCCAUCUUCCAUGCUGUGGACCAGUACCUGGCGUUGCCUGACGUGUCACUGGGCCGGUAUGCGUAUGUCCGUGGUGGGGGUGACCCUUGGACCAAUGGCUCAGGGCUUGCUCUCUGCCAGCGGUACUACCACCGAGGCCACGUGGACCCGGCCAACGACACAUUUGACAUUGAUCCGAUGGUGGUUACUGGUGAGUGGGCAGGACGAGGCUUCGCUGUUGGGAGCCUGAGCUGCUGGGAUUAAAAUCAACAGCUGUGGCUGGGCACGGUGGCUCACGCCUAUAAUACCAGCACUUUGGGAGGCUGAGGAGGGAGGAUUGCUUGAGGCCAGAAGUUUGAGACCAGCCUGGGCCACGUAGGAAGACCUUGUCUCUACGCACAAACAAAUUAGCUGGGCGUGGUGGCAUGCCCCUGUGGUCCCAGCUACUCA
This 772-nucleotide small RNA is filed under the name Pan troglodytes (chimpanzee). Its description in RNAcentral is "retained intron". The record is from RNAcentral. Lineage: Eukaryota; Metazoa; Chordata; Mammalia; Primates; Hominidae.